This 361-nucleotide ribosomal RNA is filed under the name Tulasnellaceae sp. CBS 602.93. RNAcentral describes it as "eukaryotic LSU rRNA". It matches the Rfam family "Eukaryotic large subunit ribosomal RNA", at positions 67 to 420 of the family's 3401-position model. The record is from RNAcentral. RNAcentral also lists the same sequence under 2 other names. Lineage: Eukaryota; Fungi; Basidiomycota; Agaricomycetes; Cantharellales; Tulasnellaceae.
AACAAGGAUUCCCCUAGUAACGGCGAGUGAAGCGGGAAGAGCUCAAAUUUUAAAUCUGGCGUUCUCCGGGCGUCCGAGUUGUAAUCUAGAGAAGUGUUUUCCGUGUUGGACCCACCAUAAGUUACCUCGAACGGUACAUCAUAGAGGGUGAGAAUCCCGUGUGUUGGUGGGACGCCCAGUGCUCUGCGAUGCGCUCUCGACGAGUCGAGUUGUUUGGGAAUGCAGCUCAAAAUGGGAGGUAAAUUCCUUCUAAAGCUAAAUACAUUGGGGAUGACCGAUAGCGAACAAGUACCGUGAGGGAAAGAUGAAAAGCACUUUGGAAAGAGAGUUAAACAGUACGUGAAAUUGUUAAAAGGGAAAC